ACGACUGAAGCUAUGCAAUUGCAACCAAGACCUGCACGAAAGAGGAGAUGGGUUGCAAGUGAGGCCAACUAAAGCGAAUGUUUCAUCAAAUGCCAUUGGCUGUGUGCUCAUAUUAGAGUAUCUGCCUCUUAAUUCACCUUCAUAACUGGAUCUGUAUAGUGGCACUCCACCUACAGAAAUGUCUGCUGAUGGUAGUCAUAUUAGAGGAUCUGCCUCUUAGUUCACCUUCAUAACUGGAUCUGUAUAGUGGCAUUCCACCUACAGAAAUGGCGGCUGAAGGUAUAUCUGGGGUUAAGAAGAAUACUUUUCUCCAUGAAAAGAGGGAAAAAAGAAAACACUUCUAAUAAAGGAUAGUAUUAUGUCUCUGCUAAACUACGUUUUUCCUCUUAAAAGUAUAAUUGAUUAUUUUGAUGUCAAAAGGAUUUAAGUUGCUCAUAGCAGGCUACAAGUGAUGGUAUGAUUUGAGUUCUUAGAUUUCCCUAUUUUAGGGGAGGUAAUUCAUUGGUGGCUCCAAUGUAUAAUGUCUCAAUUCUUAGGUUUGUCAUCUUGCUUGUAGUUCCUCAAGUAGGUUUUGGAAGCAGUGGCAUGGAAAUAGCUAUUCCUGUUCGAUCCCGUGGUUCGGAGCUAUAGAUAUUUGUCUUCUGCUUUACGAGCUUAUUUUUCAUUUUGUUUUCCUUGUUUAUUAACUUAGUACGUACAACAAUUGACUCGAGGAUAAUUUUGGUGUCUGAAUUAUUGCAAGUCGUGGAGACUUAUGGGUAGUUGGACUUUACAGAAUACAGGGCGUUUGGCUAAGCUUAUUAGCCGGUCAACCUAGCUUAUAAGUAUUUUUUGGCUUAUCUAAGCGUUUUGGUAAAGUUAAAAGUGUUUAUAAGCCAAAUGAAUUUUUAGCUUAUAAGCAUUUUAAGUUUGACGAAGAUUUUUACUAUUUUAUCCUUAAAAUAUUUCUUUUUGGA
This 956-nucleotide long non-coding RNA is filed under the name Nicotiana benthamiana. RNAcentral's name for it is "long non-coding RNA (NBEN_LNC007203)". Lineage: Eukaryota; Viridiplantae; Streptophyta; Magnoliopsida; Solanales; Solanaceae. The record is from RNAcentral.